UGAAUAUUUAAAUUAGGUGUAUUCACAUUAAAUUUUGGAGUUGAACUAGACAUAUCCUUUGCAAAAUAUAGAGAAGUUGAGGGUCCAGAUGUAGGCAGCAUGUACACAGGGAUUUUCACUUGUACCCUAGAUGGUUUUCUUCUUUAAUUUUUUUCUUUUUUAAAUUGAAGUACAGUUGAUUUACAACUAUAUAUAAUACACACACACAUAUAUAAAUUGUGUUAGUUUCAGGUGGACAGCAGAAUGAUUCAAUUAUAUCUAUCUAUUCUUUUUCAUAUUCUUUGCCAUUGUAAGUUGUAACAAGAUACUGAAUAUAGUUCCUUGUGCUAUACAGUAGGACCCUGUUGUUUCCUAGAUGAUUUUCUGUUUGAGAUUCAAUUUCGGAAUUGCCCACUACCUUAACUAGGAUCAAAGGGUAUAUUCUCUAUUAAAAAUGUUUGUAUGCAUAUUAAUGUUUAUAUUUACAUACAUAAGUGUACAAAUGAAGGCAGCUGGAGGCAAGGAGGACCCGAGGCAUCGUCCACUACUUAACGCAGCAAACUCGACUCACAGAUGAUUUUUAAAUGUGUAAGAAUGUAGACUGUGUUUACCAGUACAGCCUGAGUAGAUGAUUUUACAUUUCCUUUUUUUCGGGACAUUAACCAAGGGAAAUGAUGAAGCUUUCUCUCAGGUCUUAAUAAGGCCACAGUGUUUUAUGUCAAUUUCUACAUGAAGACCUAGAACCACCUGCCUUGGGGCAUUCAACAGCAGAACUGUGGCAGCUGGUCAGAGAAGCAGGUGGGUGCUCAGAUGCUCAGAGCAUCACAGAAUUGGAAAACCUGGCUUAAGCACCAGUUUUGCUACCGUGUGACUUGGGGCAACUCCUCUAACUUCCCUACACCACAGACUCCUCAUCCAGAAAACUGAGACCAUGAGAGUGAUCUCCAAGGAUGGUUUUCCUCUGAAGAAAUGAGAUGAUGCACAGAGAAUGCCAGCAUGGAGGCUGGCGUAUUGUGUGCACUCCCCUACGCUAUGUGUUCGAGUACCAGCUGAACAUCCCCUCUGCCUGUGCUUCACUUUUGACUGAGCUCCCAAGAGCAAGAACAAGAAGAGAAGCUUCUACAGAGGAAAUGGGACUUGACUGAAUACUUAAAAAUGUGUUGAAUUUCAGAGAACGGAGUAAAGGAAAUAAGCAGUGUCAGGAUGGAGCCCCGAGGAAGGAGAGCCAGGCAGAGGCGAGCCUGACAAGGCUUGUAUUUAGGAGACCAAUGAUAGGCCAGGAAUGGCUUUCCCUCCAGGGAGAUAAUGAACAUCCACAGUGCCUGGUACUCCCGCCAUCAGCCAGUGACCAUCAGUGUAUCUCCAGGCAGAGGCAGAAGGCAGGGGAGACUUCUCUCCUUCUGCCCUGAAGAGAGAGCAGAGCAGGAAGUCAACGAACACGCAUCUAGCUGGCAACCUACAUAAGAUGUACCUUGGGGUUUAGGGGAGACACCGUCACAGAAAAGCAGGAGGAAGAUCACCCCUAACUCUCUCCCGUCAAGCCUUCUCAAUGCAGAGAAAGUAUGAACAAUUAUCAGACUUCCAGACACCCUCCCAAUCCUAUGAAUUCUUUAACUUCACCUAUGAAGGCAGAAAUCCACAGGCAGACCCAGGAAUGGAUGUGCCCCGCUAAGAAAGAGCCAUAGAGAAAGUCUGCUUUGGGCACUGAAGCUGCUCUCCAGGUUCACUGUACAAGAAGAGGAAGUCAUGGGCAAGAGCUUUCAAAAUAAAUCUGUGAAUAUUCUUUUGAUUUUGAAUUAGAAGCAAUGUAAUAUCAGCAUUAGCAUUAAUGCCAAUCCCUGAGUAAUAUCUUGGGGAAGUCCAGCAGAGAUAACAAAAGCAAAAACAUAAAUACUCAUGCUUUUUACUUCUGAACAUACUUUAAAUGGAGUUUCAAGCUGCCACAUGGUGACCAAUAUUUAAGACUUACAUAAAACUCCUCUGUAUACUUUAAUACAUUAAAAUAUAAAUGUAUAUAUGUAUGUAUAAUAUAUAUAUGAUCUAAAUAAAUGGAUAAGGCAAUGAGAAUUUCCAUUACAAUGCAACAAGGAGAAUGGAAAUGAAUAUUUAAAUAAAUCAUAACAAUAUUGUAAGUCAUUAAAAAAUGAA
Molecule: non-coding RNA, 2127 nt
Organism: Vicugna pacos (alpaca)
Lineage: Eukaryota; Metazoa; Chordata; Mammalia; Artiodactyla; Camelidae
Source: RefSeq, a predicted model, not a curated record